Molecule: ribosomal RNA, 1359 nt
Filed under: Clostridium perfringens
Lineage: Bacteria; Bacillati; Bacillota; Clostridia; Eubacteriales; Clostridiaceae
Description: bacterial SSU rRNA
Rfam family: Bacterial small subunit ribosomal RNA
Source: RNAcentral
AGAGUUUGAUCCUGCCUUUAGAUGAACGCUGGCGGCGUGCUUAACACAUGCAAGUCGAGCGAUGAAGUUUCCUUCGGGAAACGGAUUAGCGGCGGACGGGUGAGUAACACGUGGGUAACCUGCCUCAUAGAGUGGAAUAGCCUUUCGAAAGGAAGAUUAAUACCGCAUAAUGUUGAAAGAUGGCAUCAUCAUUCAACCAAAGGAGCAAUCCGCUAUGAGAUGGACCCGCGGCGCAUUAGCUAGUUGGUGGGGUAACGGCCUACCAAGGCGACGAUGCGUAGCCGACCUGAGAGGGUGAUCGGCCACAUUGGGACUGAGACACGGCCCAGACUCCUACGGGAGGCAGCAGUGGGGAAUAUUGCACAAUGGGGGAAACCCUGAUGCAGCAACGCCGCGUGAGUGAUGAAGGUUUUCGGAUCGUAAAGCUCUGUCUUUGGGGAAGAUAAUGACGGUACCCAAGGAGGAAGCCACGGCUAACUACGUGCCAGCAGCCGCGGUAAUACGUAGGUGGCGAGCGUUAUCCGGAUUUACUGGGCGUAAAGGGAGCGUAGGCGGAUGAUUAAGUGGGAUGUGAAAUACCCGGGCUCAACUUGGGUGCUGCAUUCCAAACUAGUUAUCUAGAGUGCAGGAGAGGAGAGUGGAAUUCCUAGUGUAGCGGUGAAAUGCGUAGAGAUUAGGAAGAACACCAGUGGCGAAGGCGACUCUCUGGACUGUAACUGACGCUGAGGCUCGAAAGCGUGGGGAGCAAACAGGAUUAGAUACCCUGUAGUCCACGCCGUAAACGAUGAAUACUAGGUGUGGGGGUUUCAACACCUCCGUGCCGCCGCUAACGCAUUAAGUAUUCCGCCUGGGGAGUACGGUCGCAAGAUUAAAACUCAAAGGAAUUGACGGGGACCCGCACAAGUAGCGGAGCAUGUGGUUUAAUUCGAAGCAACGCGAAGAACCUUACCUACACUUGACAUCCCUUGCAUUACUCUUAAUCGAGGAAAUCCCUUCGGGGACAAGGUGACAGGUGGUGCAUGGUUGUCGUCAGCUCGUGUCGUGAGAUGUUGGGUUAAGUCCCGCAACGAGCGCAACCCUUGUCGUUAGUUACUACCAUUAAGUUGAGGACUCUAGCGAGACUGCCUGGGUUAACCAGGAGGAAGGUGGGGAUGACGUCAAAUCAUCAUGCCCCUUAUGUGUAGGGCUACACACGUGCUACAAUGGCUGGUACAGAGAGAUGCAAUACCGCGAGGUGGAGCCAAACUUUAAAACCAGUCUCAGUUCGGAUUGUAGGCUGAAACUCGCCUACAUGAAGCUGGAGUUACUAGUAAUCGCGAAUCAGAAUGUCGCGGUGAAUACGUUCCCGGGUCUUGUACA